This 1482-nucleotide long non-coding RNA is filed under the name Physcomitrium patens. RNAcentral's name for it is "long non-coding RNA (PPAT_LNC013104)". The record is from RNAcentral. Lineage: Eukaryota; Viridiplantae; Streptophyta; Bryopsida; Funariales; Funariaceae.
UGAUUGAAAUUCCAUUCAAUAAAGUUCAUCCAAACCCCAACCCAUCAAACCUUAAUUGAUUCUUCCUUGACCUAGGCUCUUCUAUGAAUAUUAAAUGACCUUGCAAGAUUUUAUUGACCUUGUACAUUGAAGAAGAGUCCGUUCUUAUUUUCCACAGGUACUCUUCUCUCUCAACACGAUCUUACAAAUUCCUUCUUGCUCUGCUCCCGAUGAGAAUUCACAGCGUUGAAUGGGAGUGCGAUUCCAACGCCCCUCCUCCACCUCACACGACCCUGCUCUUCAGCUACAGUUCCUGUAGCGGAUUUCUACCGAUUUAAGCACGAACAGCCUACGAAGAACAAAUCAAUUUUCUUGAAUGCUCGUCCAAUCACAAUUUUAUUUUCUCAAGCUGAUUCGUAUCUCUAGUGAGGAGGUGCCUAACUCUGCAAUUUCGAUGACGGCUUUGUGGUAGUAUUUGUUGUUGAAUCAAACAAGCUCGAAGUUUUACAUGGAAAAAACCAUCUGAGUUCUGAGCGCCAAAUUUCAUGAACAAGAACGCUCCAUUAUCCCUCUGCAACGCUGCCAAGGGAACACCCAGAUCCGCCUAAUACGGAGUCCUUCCGCAGCAACAACGUUACUAAACAAGAAGACUGAUUCCACAGUCACCACACCUCUACUUCGUAAGUACCAACUUCGACAGCAAUAAGAAGACCACAGCAAAGAGAACCAAAACCAAGAAACCAAGAAUGAUGUCGAGCCUAAGGAAAAUACCACAACACCAGUGGUCAACCGCCACCUUCGAAACCAGCACCUCGCACGAGGAAUGGAACAAAAAACCAAUGAAAGAAAAGGGCAAAAAUUGGCUUGCGGUGAAUUACAGGGCGGAGUAGUCAAAAUAUAUCAACAAUGAAACAACGGAGGACUUUCGCAAUCCAAAAUUACAAGGCUCGAAGCCCUCCUCGUCAAUAACAAAUGUUGUUUCUACUGUAAGGUUAACCUACUAUGCGCCCUGAGCUAAUUCACACUAACCACAGAAAAAGAAGAAUGCCGCCCUGCAGCACCGCAAUGGAAUGAAGAACACGCCGCAGCCACGCACUGCACCGCAAGAGUCCACCAACUUGAACCUUGAGGAUGAAAACCUGCCAACGAAAGGGAUAAUGAUAGGAAAAAUGGAUCACGCCACUUGUAGAACCACCGGAGCAAGUGCGAGAUCGUAAGCCUGCGACACCACCGCAGCAACACAACUAUACACACGUCGGAGACGCUGUUCCAAAUUCAACAAUACCAAGGAAGCACAACUGCUGCAAUGCAAGGGAUUUUGUAGCACCCUACGACCCUGACCAAGGGUAGAAAUAAAAGGAACCAGCGCACUUUGAACAGAACCUGUCGCACAGCAGUCAACCGACACCUCAACCACAACAACCCCACAGCAGCACACGUACGUCGCAGGAACAAAGAAAUCCAAGAAUUUUAAAAAAUACGUCUCGAUACGAGCCGGCCUCC